This 239-nucleotide unclassified non-coding RNA is filed under the name Hevea brasiliensis (rubber tree). The record is from RNAcentral. Lineage: Eukaryota; Viridiplantae; Streptophyta; Magnoliopsida; Malpighiales; Euphorbiaceae.
GUUGUUAAGUAUUUUUGGCCUCUCUUACUCUCUACUGCUCUCUUCCUAAUCGCCGUCGUUCUCUUUGGAUGGAUUUCUCCGCCGGUAUCUGAGGUUUCCGGUGAGAAAACCGGUGAAGGUAUUUUGGAAUUCGUAGCGGGUCAACCCGAAGAACAAUUACAAACGCAUCUACAUGAUUUACAUGAACAUGAAGGAGACGGAGAAGAUGAAGAAGGUGAAAGUAGUAAAGUAGAGUGAAG